This 1372-nucleotide ribosomal RNA is filed under the name uncultured bacterium. RNAcentral describes it as "bacterial SSU rRNA". It matches the Rfam family "Bacterial small subunit ribosomal RNA", at positions 28 to 1381 of the family's 1533-position model. The record is from RNAcentral.
GAUGAACGCUGGCGGCGUGCCUAAUACAUGCAAGUCGAGCGAACGGACGAGAAGCUUGCUUUUCUGAUGUUAGCGGCGGACGGGUGAGUAACACGUGGAUAACCUACCUAUAAGACUGGGAUAACUUCGGGAAACCGGAGCUAAUACCGGAUGAUAUUUUGAACCGCAUGGUUCAAAAGUGAAAGACGGUCUUGCUGUCACUUAUAGAUGGAUCCGCGCUGCAUUAGCUAGUUGGUAAGGUAACGGCUUACCAAGGCAACGAUGCAUAGCCGACCUGAGAGGGUGAUCGGCCACACUGGAACUGAGACACGGUCCAGACUCCUACGGGAGGCAGCAGUAGGGAAUCUUCCGCAAUGGGCGAAAGCCUGACGGAGCAACGCCGCGUGAGUGAUGAAGGUCUUCGGAUCGUAAAACUCUGUUAUUAGGGAAGAACAUAUGUGUAAGUAACUGUGCACAUCUUGACGGUACCUAAUCAGAAAGCCACGGCUAACUACGUGCCAGCAGCCGCGGUAAUACGUAGGUGGCAAGCGUUAUCCGGAAUUAUUGGGCGUAAAGCGCGCGUAGGCGGUUUUUUAAGUCUGAUGUGAAAGCCCACGGCUCAACCGUGGAGGGUCAUUGGAAACUGGAAAACUUGAGUGCAGAAGAGGAAAGUGGAAUUCCAUGUGUAGCGGUGAAAUGCGCAGAGAUAUGGAGGAACACCAGUGGCGAAGGCGACUUUCUGGUCUGUAACUGACGCUGAUGUGCGAAAGCGUGGGGAUCAAACAGGAUUAGAUACCCUGGUAGUCCGCGCCGUAAACGAUGAGUGCUAAGUGUUAGGGGGUUUCCGCCCCUUAGUGCUGCAGCUAACGCAUUAAGCACUCCGCCUGGGGAGUACGACCGCAAGGUUGAAACUCAAAGGAAUUGACGGGGACCCGCACAAGCGGUGGAGCAUGUGGUUUAAUUCGAAGCAACGCGAAGAACCUUACCAAAUCUUGACAUCCUUUGACAACUCUAGAGAUAGAGCCUUCCCCUUCGGGGGACAAAGUGACAGGUGGUGCAUGGUUGUCGUCAGCUCGUGUCGUGAGAUGUUGGGUUAAGUCCCGCAACGAGCGCAACCCUUAAGCUUAGUUGCCAUCAUUAAGUUGGGCACUCUAAGUUGACUGCCGGUGACAAACCGGAGGAAGGUGGGGAUGACGUCAAAUCAUCAUGCCCCUUAUGAUUUGGGCUACACACGUGCUACAAUGGACAAUACAAAGGGCAGCGAAACCGCGAGGUCAAGCAAAUCCCAUAAAGUUGUUCUCAGUUCGGAUUGUAGUCUGCAACUCGACUACAUGAAGCUGGAAUCGCUAGUAAUCGUAGAUCAGCAUGCUACGGUGAAUACGUUCCCGGGUCU